This 704-nucleotide long non-coding RNA is filed under the name Elaeis guineensis (African oil palm). RNAcentral describes it as "long non-coding RNA (EGUI_LNC031808)". The record is from RNAcentral. Lineage: Eukaryota; Viridiplantae; Streptophyta; Magnoliopsida; Arecales; Arecaceae.
GCAACUUUGAUCGGUGAUCAUUAAUUGGGAGCUACUCACAUAGAUUGAAUCUAUAUCGAGUUAAUGACAUAUCCCUCCCACCAAUCUCACUUACCUGGCUAAUAUGGUGAAUCAUAUUUUGAUUAGAUCACUUAAUGAUUGAGAUUGACCCAUGCUAACUAAAAAAUCAGUAUGACUGAUUUAGGUGCUCCUAGUUCAACUUCUCUUGAGUGCUCUUCAUGACUUGAUAAAAUCAGUGGAAGGAUUUAUGACUGGUUGGUCGGACCAGCUUAUAUCUGAUCUUCUUUAAUCUGACUUGGUGAAGUCAGUGAGAGGAUUAAGAUUAACUGAAUAAGUCUUUUCUUAUCUCUCAAUUCAACUAAUUAAAUCCUCUAAAAUUGUUAGGUCUCUAAAAAUAAAAUAGUUAUGGUGAUAACUAGAUCAUAGCCUCCCAUUAAGUUGGGUGAUAAUGAGUCCAACAGUUUAGAUGAUCACUGGAGGUGCCACACGCCUGGUGCUCAUCUGGCUGUCAGAAUUAUCAUUCAUAAUAUGUUGAUUUAGUUGUAUCUUUCUAAUGAUGGUCAAGUUGGUCGAGCCACAUUCAGAUCUAAUCACUCAUUUGUUAGAUAUACUAAAUUAUGGUAUGUUAAUAGUUGAACCUAACUAGAACUUUUAGUAGAGGCACCACACGACAACUGAAGAGGUGUCUAGGGCAAAAUUGAAUG